UACGGGGGGGGCAAGCGUUGUUCGGAAUUACUGGGCGUAAAGCGUGCGCAGGCGGUGAUGUAAGACAGAUGUGAAAUCCCCGGGCUUAACCUGGGAACUGCAUUUGUGACUGCAUCGCUGGAGUGCGGCAGAGGGGGAUGGAAUUCCGCGUGUAGCAGUGAAAUGCGUAGAUAUGCGGAGGAACACCGAUGGCGAAGGCAAUCCCCUGGGCCUGCACUGACGCUCAUGCACGAAAGCGUGGGGAGCAAACAGG
This 253-nucleotide ribosomal RNA is filed under the name uncultured bacterium. Its description in RNAcentral is "partial 16S ribosomal RNA". It matches the Rfam family "Bacterial small subunit ribosomal RNA", at positions 524 to 776 of the family's 1533-position model. The record is from RNAcentral.